Molecule: ribosomal RNA, 252 nt
Filed under: uncultured bacterium
Lineage: Bacteria
Description: partial 16S ribosomal RNA
Rfam family: Bacterial small subunit ribosomal RNA
Source: RNAcentral
UACGGGGGGUCAAGCGUUGUUCGGAAUUACUGGGCGUAAAGGGCUCGUAGGCGGCCAACUAAGUCGGACGUGAAAUCCCCAGGCUCAACCUGGGAACUGCGUCCGAUACUGGAUGGCUUGAAUCCGGGAGAGGGAUGCAGAAUUCCAGGUGUAGCGGUGAAAUGCGUAGAUAUCUGGAGGAAUACCGGUGGCGAAGGCGGCAUCCUGGACCGGCAUUGACGCUGAGGAGCGAAAGCCAGGGGAGCAAACGGG